UGUUGAUUGCAAGCGAGGAGCGCGCUGGGUGCAACUCGCACCACAGGCAGCCUGCUUUCAGUCGUCUGCUCGCCGCAGCCUCGGAGCAACUCAAACCAACCACCGCACAGACUGGUGGCCGACUUGGAUUAACUCGUAUUUCGAAAUUGACCGCUUUCCCCCCUCCGCAUUCUAAAAUCAAUUAUCUGCUCAUUAGCGCGACUUUGUCGCUUUUAUUUGCAGAUUCUACACAAAUGGAGGAUCUGUAAAUAAAAUAAACACUUGUAAAAUUUCGGACAUAGCGUCGCUGCAUUUGUGAUAGCGGAGCGCUGACCCCGGGGGUCCGCAAAGUUCCCGGCCUGAUUAACCUCGGCAGAGCGGCGCGGGAGCAAAGGUUAACCGGCCUAAUCAACUUCAAGAGAGCGACUCUGUCACAUCAUCAACUGGGACACUUCCACACACACUCAAAAAUGCAGGUAAUUUUUUUUGCACAAUCAAUUCAUUAAUUAUCAUUAUUAUUAUUAUUAUUAUCAAAUCAGAGAUUACUUUAGUCUCCUUGACAUUUUCAUUUUCUCCUAUAUGGAUUUAAAUGCCGAUGUACUGUAAAUAUCAAAACUAUAACAAUAAACAGAUUUUGACUGCUUUGUCAUAAUUGAUGUUGAUGCAAAUGAUGUUUAUGAAUUUUAUGUCACAUUUUCUGGACAGUUUAUGAUGAUUAUGAUACUAUACUGUGAACGUCAAUCACAUUGAACAAAGCGAAGCAUUGUUGUCUUUUUAAAGGCAGGAUUGCUGGAUUAGACAGACGUAUUGGAGGUUUUUGUGUGUACCUAAUAUUCUGGCAUGUGCUCAUAGUACUACAAAUGUAACAUUAAAUGACUCAAAUUAGGCUUGUGUCAUUAAUGCUGACAUCUCAAUUGUGGGUGUGUUUGGUUUUUAAAAAUUAAGCAACUUGUGUGUGGCCCCAUUCAUAAAGUUGUGCUCCCUCACACACACAACUGCAAUGUGUGUGUGCCUUCACAGUCCACAUUUGCCAAUGACAGACGACAGCAGCAAUUUGCACAGAUAGAGAUCAAUUUGUCUCAAUGAUCACUCUAUAGGCCCACUGCCAGCCUGCUUUCAGUCUUGCCUGUUAAAAUCAGCAGUUCCAACGCUGAAUGCACUCAAGC
Syngnathus acus (greater pipefish) is the source of this 1145-nucleotide long non-coding RNA. RefSeq lists it as uncharacterized. NCBI's taxonomy places the organism in Eukaryota, Metazoa, Chordata, Actinopteri, Syngnathiformes, Syngnathidae. The record is from RefSeq and is a predicted model, not a curated record. The transcript is spliced from 2 exons.